This is a long non-coding RNA of Megalops cyprinoides (Indo-Pacific tarpon), 226 nucleotides long. RefSeq lists it as uncharacterized. The transcript has 3 exons. Lineage: Eukaryota; Metazoa; Chordata; Actinopteri; Elopiformes; Megalopidae. The record is from RefSeq and is a predicted model, not a curated record.
CGAAGCUCCAUUUCUCUUGUGGCAAUGUCUCCUGUUGUGGCCGUUUUCUUUCUGCUGAUGUGCUCAGCAUUGCCUCUGGAAGCUCAAUCCCAUGACUCGCAGCCCUGGGAUCACUCGAAGGAGGGUGUUCUAGAAGGGAUGGAGGUAGAGGGUACAGGAGAAAUCCCCGGUACCUGUUUUGUAUGUAAGCGCAUCAUGGAGUCUGUGCAAGAGAGACUGUCUGACA